CUGAUUACGCCAGCUGCCCUUAGAGUUUGAUCCUGGCUCAGGAUGAACGCUAGCGGCAGGCUUAACACAUGCAAGUCGAGGGGUAUAUGUCUUCGGAUAUAGAGACCGGCGCACGGGUGCGUAACGCGUAUGCAAUCUGCCUUUCACAGAGGGAUAGCCCAGAGAAAUUUGGAUUAAUACCUCAUAGCAUUACGGGAUGGCAUCAUCCUGUAAUUAAAGUCACAACGGUGAAAGAUGAGCAUGCGUCCCAUUAGCUAGUUGGUAAGGUAACGGCUUACCAAGGCAACGAUGGGUAGGGGUCCUGAGAGGGAGAUCCCCCACACUGGUACUGAGACACGGACCAGACUCCUACGGGAGGCAGCAGUGAGGAAUAUUGGUCAAUGGGCGCAAGCCUGAACCAGCCAUGCCGCGUGCAGGAUGACGGUCCUAUGGAUUGUAAACUGCUUUUGCACAGGAAGAAACAGCUCUACGUGUAGAGUCUUGACGGUACUGUGAGAAUAAGGAUCGGCUAACUCCGUGCCAGCAGCCGCGGUAAUACGGAGGAUCCAAGCGUUAUCCGGAAUCAUUGGGUUUAAAGGGUCCGUAGGCGGUCUUGUAAGUCAGUGGUGAAAGCCCAUCGCUCAACGGUGGAACGGCCAUUGAUACUGCUGGACUUGAAUUAUUAGGAAGUAACUAGAAUAUGUAGUGUAGCGGUGAAAUGCUUAGAGAUUACAUGGAAUACCAAUUGCGAAGGCAGGUUACUACUAAUGGAUUGACGCUGAUGGACGAAAGCGUGGGUAGCGAACAGGAUUAGAUACCCUGGUAGUCCACGCCGUAAACGAUGGAUACUAGCUGUUGGAAGCAAUUUCAGUGGCUAAGCGAAAGUGAUAAGUAUCCCACCUGGGGAGUACGUUCGCAAGAAUGAAACUCAAAGGAAUUGACGGGGGCCCGCACAAGCGGUGGAGCAUGUGGUUUAAUUCGAUGAUACGCGAGGAACCUUACCAAGGCUUAAAUGCAGACUGACCGAUUUGGAAACAGAUCUUUCGCAAGACAGUUUACAAGGUGCUGCAUGGUUGUCGUCAGCUCGUGCCGUGAGGUGUCAGGUUAAGUCCUAUAACGAGCGCAACCCCUGUUGUUAGUUGCCAGCGAGUCAUGUCGGGAACUCUAACAAGACUGCCAGUGCAAACUGUGAGGAAGGUGGGGAUGACGUCAAAUCAUCACGGCCCUUACGCCUUGGGCUACACACGUGCUACAAUGGCCGGUACAGAGAGCAGCCACUGGGUGACCAGGAGCGAAUCUAUAAAGCCGGUCACAGUUCGGAUCGGAGUCUGCAACUCGACUCCGUGAAGCUGGAAUCGCUAGUAAUCGGAUAUCAGCCAUGAUCCGGUGAAUACGUUCCCGGGCCUUGUACACACCGCCCGUCAAGCCAUGGAAGCUGGGGGUGCCUGAAGUCGGUGACCGCAAGGAGCUGCCUAGGGUAAAACUGGUAACUAGGGCUAAGUCGUAACAAGGUAGCCGUACCGGAAGGUGCGGCUGGAUCACCUCCUUAAGGGCA
Molecule: ribosomal RNA, 1534 nt
Filed under: Flavobacterium sp.
Lineage: Bacteria; Pseudomonadati; Bacteroidota; Flavobacteriia; Flavobacteriales; Flavobacteriaceae
Description: bacterial SSU rRNA
Rfam family: Bacterial small subunit ribosomal RNA
Source: RNAcentral